This 253-nucleotide ribosomal RNA is filed under the name uncultured Lactobacillus sp. RNAcentral's name for it is "partial 16S ribosomal RNA". It matches the Rfam family "Bacterial small subunit ribosomal RNA", at positions 524 to 776 of the family's 1533-position model. The record is from RNAcentral. Lineage: Bacteria; Bacillati; Bacillota; Bacilli; Lactobacillales; Lactobacillaceae.
UACGUAGGUGGCAAGCGUUAUCCGGAUUUAUUGGGCGUAAAGGGAACGCAGGCGGUCUUUUAAGUCUGAUGUGAAAGCCUUCGGCUUAACCGGAGUAGUGCAUUGGAAACUGGGAGACUUGAGUGCAGAAGAGGAGAGUGGAACUCCAUGUGUAGCGGUGAAAUGCGUAGAUAUAUGGAAGAACACCAGUGGCGAAGGCGACUUUCUGGACUGUGCCUGACGCUGAGGCGCGAAAGCGUGGGUAGCGAACGGG